This is a long non-coding RNA of Patella vulgata (common limpet), 1189 nucleotides long. RefSeq lists it as uncharacterized. The record is from RefSeq and is a predicted model, not a curated record. NCBI's taxonomy places the organism in Eukaryota, Metazoa, Mollusca, Gastropoda, Patellidae. The transcript is spliced from 5 exons.
AAGCGGUCGAUUUCUUGUGUUUGUCGAUUUCUGGCAGUUGACAAGGCGCUCAUUGGCUGCUCAAUCAGUUGCUUCGUGGCACUGAAGUUUCUUUAAAAGAUGUAAUGUUCUAAUUCUCGUCCUUCAAGUUACUGAGCUUACAGCGAUAACAUACAGGAUGACUCUCUUAUUUGUGACUCUCGCUGCUUCUAUUCUGGCCCUUGGAAAUUGCGGAAAUUUCACUAUCACACAAGAGGCUUCAGUUAGUAUUGAAAUUAAAAACUUUGAUGGCGAAGGAGAAGAUUUCAGAGGUAAAUUCACAAUAGGUCUUUUUGGAGACUCAGUACCAAUGACAGCACUUAACUUCGCUGGAAUUUGCAAAGGAUUCAAGAGAGGAAACAAAGGGCCUAAACUUCAUUACAAAAACACCUUCUGUCACCGAGUGGUAAAAGACAUGUUGGUCCAAUGUGGUGACGUCACCAUUGGUGAUGGAUCUGGCAGUAAAUCAAUCUUCGGAGAUAAAUUCAAUGACGAAAACUUCAUCAUCAGCCACAGCAGUGCUGGUAUUAUUUCUAUGGCUAAUCAUGGACAAGAUACUAACGGAUCACAAUUCUUCCUCCUCUUCACUAGAGCUCGAUACCUCGACAACAAACACGUCGCUUUCGGCAAAGUUGUUAAAGGAUACGAUGUAGUAGAAGCUAUCAACGAUUUAGGUUCAGAAAAAGACGGUUUAACACCACGACGACCCAUCAAAAUCACCGACUGUGUUCUUGAAGAAGUUGAAAAAUACGAUCUAUCUAGAAAACAAAUGUUUACUGAUGAUUUAGAAAAAUAAACAGUUUAUUUAAUUUGUGAAUUUUCUACCAUCAUAGUUCAUUUCUGCGUGUUAUUUUGAAUUGUUAUGUAGUCGUGUAUAAAAUGUUCUACAGACUUGUUUCGUUCAAUCUACAUCAUGUCUACGUGUUUUUUAGUAUUGUAUUUUCUGCAUUAAUUUGUAUUUAUUUAGCUCAUCAACUAGUGAACUGAUGUUUACGUGAAUACCGCGGCCAAAUCUACUUAAUUCAACUGUCAUAGUUGUUAUUUUAUCGCCAUGUAUGUAGUCAACUAUGUAAUAUAGUGUGCCCCCCCGCCCCUUUUUCAUGUAAUUUUUCUUGUAGAAGACAUCUUGUAAGGAUAUUGUAAUAAACAACCAUUGUAAAAAAAAAGCUCA